Non-coding RNA from Rattus norvegicus (Norway rat), 201 nucleotides. The record is from RefSeq and is a predicted model, not a curated record. Lineage: Eukaryota; Metazoa; Chordata; Mammalia; Rodentia; Muridae.
CUACAACCCUUCUACUUUCCAUUCCUUAAUUGAUGGAUGAUCAGGCUGAUUCAGUUUCAUACCUAUCCUGGCAAGAUAAGGUUUUAUAAAUGGGGGAGCCUAGCCUCCAGGAAUGAGCCAAUAUGAAUGGCGUAAAGAAAGUUCUUCUUUGGCAAUUGAAGCCAUAUUGUGAGUUUAUAAAGUAAAUCAACAGACAAAGCC